This 496-nucleotide ribosomal RNA is filed under the name uncultured bacterium. RNAcentral's name for it is "partial 16S ribosomal RNA". It matches the Rfam family "Bacterial small subunit ribosomal RNA", at positions 28 to 506 of the family's 1533-position model. The record is from RNAcentral.
GACGAACGCUGGCGGCGUGCCUAAUACAUGCAAGUUGAGCGCUGAAGGUUGGUACUUGUACCAACUGGAUGAGCAGCGAACGGGUGAGUAACGCGUGGGGAAUCUGCCUUUGAGCGGGGGACAACAUUUGGAAACGAAUGCUACUACCGCAUAAAAACUUUAAACACAAGUUUUAAGCUUGAAAGAUGCAAUUGCAUCACUCAAAGAUGAUCCCGCGUUGUAUUAGCUAGUUGGUGAGGUAAAGGCUCACCAAGGCGAUGAUACAUGGCCGACCUGAGAGGGUGAUCCGGCACAUUGGGACAGAGGCACGGCCCAAACACCGGCGGGGGGCAACAGUAGGGAAUCCUCGGGGAUGGAGCAAAGGCUGACCGAGCAACGUCGCGGGAGGGAAGAAGGUUUUCGGAUGGUAAAACUCUGUUGGUAGAAAAGAACGAUGGUGAGUGUGGAAAGGACCACAAGGGACGGUAACUACCCAGAAAGGGACGGCUAACUACGU